UCUUACUUGAUACAUCACAUUUUCAACAAACUACAAUAUAUUACCAGACAUUGAAACAGUAGCAUAUUCAAUCAACAAGUUGAGACAAUAUUGUGGACGAAUAAUAAUUAAAAUUACUAUGCUUUCUGUUAAGGAUGUAGUUCGCCAUAUGUGAUCCCCUCGACUAUCAAAUUUGUGGUCAAGCACCAAAGAAUACAUGGAUUAAGCAGAGUUCAAAGUUGAAGAGUAUUAUGCAGAGCCAUUGAUUUUUGGACCAUACCUCUCAACCCUCUCAUCAAUCCAAGCCCUCAUAUCAGCUAAAACAAUAGCAACAGCAUCG
RNAcentral lists this unclassified non-coding RNA (319 nucleotides) under Hevea brasiliensis (rubber tree). Lineage: Eukaryota; Viridiplantae; Streptophyta; Magnoliopsida; Malpighiales; Euphorbiaceae. The record is from RNAcentral.